GGGCGGAUAGCUCAGUCGGUAGAGCGCAGCUCUUACACAGCUGAUGUCGCAGGUUCGAGCCCUGUUCCGCCCACCA
This 76-nucleotide transfer RNA is filed under the name Leptospirillum sp. Its description in RNAcentral is "tRNA-Val". It matches the Rfam family "tRNA". From Rfam's summary of the family: Transfer RNA (tRNA) molecules are approximately 80 nucleotides in length. Lineage: Bacteria; Pseudomonadati; Nitrospirota; Nitrospiria; Nitrospirales; Nitrospiraceae. The record is from RNAcentral. RNAcentral also lists the same sequence under 9 other names.